RNAcentral lists this ribosomal RNA (513 nucleotides) under uncultured bacterium. RNAcentral describes it as "bacterial SSU rRNA". It matches the Rfam family "Bacterial small subunit ribosomal RNA", at positions 20 to 507 of the family's 1533-position model. The record is from RNAcentral.
UGGCUCAAAAUGAACGCUGGCGGCGUGGUUAACCUUUGAAAGUCGAACGGUUUUUAUUGAAGGGCAACCGGACAUAAAAGCAGUGGCAAACGGGUGCGUAACACGUGAACAUUCUACCUUUAAGUGGGGAAUAGCUCGCCAAAAGGCGAAUUAAUACCGCAUGUGGUCGGGACUCGCAUGAGUCUUGAACUAAAGUCAGGGACCGCAAGGCCUGACGCUUAUAGAGGAGUUCGCGGCCUAUCAGCUAGUUGGCGAGGUAACGGCUCACCAAGGCUAAAACGGGUAGCUGGUCUGAGAGGAUGAUCAGCCACACUGGAACUGAGACACGGUCCAAACACCUACGGGUGGCAGCAGUUUCAAAUCAUUCACAAUGGGCGAAAGCCUGAUGGUGCGACGCCGCGUGAGGGAUGAAGGUCUUCGGAUUGUAAACCUCUGUCACCGGGGAAGAAACGCUUCAAGUUAACAGUUUGAAGCCUGACUUAACCCGGAGAGGAAGCAGUGGCUAACUCUGUG